RNAcentral lists this ribosomal RNA (443 nucleotides) under uncultured Alphaproteobacteria bacterium. RNAcentral describes it as "bacterial SSU rRNA". It matches the Rfam family "Bacterial small subunit ribosomal RNA", at positions 28 to 505 of the family's 1533-position model. Lineage: Bacteria; Pseudomonadati; Pseudomonadota; Alphaproteobacteria. The record is from RNAcentral.
GACGAACGCUGGCGGCGCGCCUAACACAUGCAAGUCGCACGGGAUCCUUGGCUUCGGCCUUGGUGAGAGUGGCGCACGGGUGAGUAACGCGUGGGAACCUGCCCAGAGGUACGGGACAACCGAUGGAAACGUCGGCUAAUACCGUAUGAUCCCUGAGGGGCAAAGAUUUAUCGCCUUUGGAGGGGCCCGCGUUAGAUUAGCUUGUUGGUGGGGUAAUGGCCUACCAAGGCAACGAUCUAUAGCUGGUCUGAGAGGAUGAUCAGCCACACUGGGACUGAGACACGGCCCAGACUCCUACGGGAGGCAGCAGUGGGGAAUCUUGGACAAUGGGGGAAACCCUGAUCCAGCGACGCCGCGUGGGUGAUGAAGGCCUUCGGGUUGUAAACCCCUUUUCUUGGUGACGAUGAUGACGGUAGCCAAGGAAUAAGCACCGGCUAACUCCG